Long non-coding RNA from Amaranthus tricolor (Joseph's coat), 855 nucleotides. RefSeq lists it as uncharacterized. The transcript has 4 exons. NCBI's taxonomy places the organism in Eukaryota, Viridiplantae, Streptophyta, Magnoliopsida, Caryophyllales, Amaranthaceae. The record is from RefSeq and is a predicted model, not a curated record.
UUAAGUUGCCUUAAUUAAGAAAUGUAACCCCCGAAAUAAAACCCCUCAAAACCCUAAUUUUCAUUAUUCAUUCUAUCAUCCUAAGUUAAACAUAUAAAAAAAAAUCCUCAUAGUGUCUCUUAUGCUGCCACCUUUGGAGGAAGGAGAGGGGUUUCGGUUGCUCGGUUUUGUCUUUCGAGGGUUGCAUCGUUCUAAGCUUUGGAAAUUGACCUCAAUUCCUGAGGGAUCAUUAAAGUAUCUUCCUGAUUUACGAGGUUGUGUUUGUGUGCUUAUUUGGAAAAGGUGCCCAUUUUGUAAGAGGAAAGUAGAGCCUUAGUCGGGUGAUUUUGUGACUUUUGAUCGUGCAGUGAAGCUUACAGCAGAAGGAUCAUAGACAGGCGUAGCAGGUAUUGGAGCUUCUUUUGCAUUACAUUGCAUUGGGUUGGAAUGAUGAGGGCGAAGCAUAACUCGUGUCAUACCAUUAUCUUUUGAUUUUGUAGCUGUUGUUAUCUUUUGUAAGCUUUGGUUGUAUAUGUUUCGUUAUGAGGCCUUGUGUCCUCCCUUGUAUAUUUGUAUUUUUGCUGCGUAGCUUAUAACUCUGUAUGGUUUUAAGGAAUUAAGUCUUUUUUUUAACGCAAACGUCGACACUGGAACCACGAUCCAUGCUUGGCAUGUUGAUUUGAGAAGCCGGCAACGAAUCAUUCCGCCGUGGAGAUUUUAAAGGCAAUGAUGCCUUAGAUUAGUUUAAUGUUUUUAUAUUGCUAAUUGCUCUACCACAUGUUCGAUUUUUAGAAGAGAUGCUGCCGAAAUUUCCACGCACCUUUUUAAAAUUAAUAUUUAACAUUUAUCCAAAUUCUUUUUCUUUCUUAUAUGUAA